AAAUUGAAGAGUUUGAUCAUGGCUCAGAUUGAACGCUGGCGGCAGGCCUAACACAUGCAAGUCGAGCGGUAGCACAGAGAGCUUGCUCUCGGGUGACGAGCGGCGGACGGGUGAGUAAUGUCUGGGAAACUGCCUGAUGGAGGGGGAUAACUACUGGAAACGGUAGCUAAUACCGCAUAAUGUCGCAAGACCAAAGUGGGGGACCUUCGGGCCUCAUGCCAUCAGAUGUGCCCAGAUGGGAUUAGCUAGUAGGUGGGGUAACGGCUCACCUAGGCGACGAUCCCUAGCUGGUCUGAGAGGAUGACCAGCCACACUGGAACUGAGACACGGUCCAGACUCCUACGGGAGGCAGCAGUGGGGAAUAUUGCACAAUGGGCGCAAGCCUGAUGCAGCCAUGCCGCGUGUGUGAAGAAGGCCUUCGGGUUGUAAAGCACUUUCAGCGGGGAGGAAGGCGAUAAGGUUAAUAACCUUGUCGAUUGACGUUACCCGCAGAAGAAGCACCGGCUAACUCCGUGCCAGCAGCCGCGGUAAUACGGAGGGUGCAAGCGUUAAUCGGAAUUACUGGGCGUAAAGCGCACGCAGGCGGUCUGUCAAGUCGGAUGUGAAAUCCCCGGGCUUAACCUGGGAACUGCAUUCGAAACUGGCAGGCUAGAGUCUUGUAGAGGGGGGUAGAAUUCCAGGUGUAGCGGUGAAAUGCGUAGAGAUCUGGAGGAAUACCGGUGGCGAAGGCGGCCCCCUGGACAAAGACUGACGCUCAGGUGCGAAAGCGUGGGGAGCAAACAGGAUUAGAUACCCUGGUAGUCCACGCCGUAAACGAUGUCGAUUUGGAGGUUGUGCCCUUGAGGCGUGGCUUCCGGAGCUAACGCGUUAAAUCGACCGCCUGGGGAGUACGGCCGCAAGGUUAAAACUCAAAUGAAUUGACGGGGGCCCGCACAAGCGGUGGAGCAUGUGGUUUAAUUCGAUGCAACGCGAAGAACCUUACCUGGUCUUGACAUCCACAGAACUUUCCAGAGAUGGAUUGGUGCCUUCGGGAACUGUGAGACAGGUGCUGCAUGGCUGUCGUCAGCUCGUGUUGUGAAAUGUUGGGUUAAGUCCCGCAACGAGCGCAACCCUUAUCCUUUGUUGCCAGCGGUUCGGCCGGGAACUCAAAGGAGACUGCCAGUGAUAAACUGGAGGAAGGUGGGGAUGACGUCAAGUCAUCAUGGCCCUUACGACCAGGGCUACACACGUGCUACAAUGGCAUAUACAAAGAGAAGCGACCUCGCGAGAGCAAGCGGACCUCAUAAAGUAUGUCGUAGUCCGGAUUGGAGUCUGCAACUCGACUCCAUGAAGUCGGAAUCGCUAGUAAUCGUAGAUCAGAAUGCUACGGUGAAUACGUUCCCGGGCCUUGUACACACCGCCCGUCACACCAUGGGAGUGGGUUGCAAAAGAAGUAGGUAGCUUAACCUUCGGGAGGGCGCUUACCACUUUGUGAUUCAUGACUGGGGUGAAGUCGUAACAAGGUAACCGUAGGGGAACCUGCGGUUGGAUCACCUCCUUACCUUAAAGAA
RNAcentral lists this ribosomal RNA (1550 nucleotides) under Klebsiella pneumoniae. RNAcentral's name for it is "bacterial SSU rRNA". It matches the Rfam family "Bacterial small subunit ribosomal RNA". RNAcentral also lists the same sequence under 1 other name. Lineage: Bacteria; Pseudomonadati; Pseudomonadota; Gammaproteobacteria; Enterobacterales; Enterobacteriaceae. The record is from RNAcentral.